GUUUGAUCCUGGCUCAGGACGAACGCUGGCGGCGUGCCUAAUACAUGCAAGUCGAGCGCGGGAAGCGAGUGGAAGUCCUUCGGGACGGAUACUCGUGGAACGAGCGGCGGACGGGUGAGUAACACGUGGGCAACCUACCUGUAAGACCGGAAUAACCCCGGGAAACCGGGGCUAAUGCCGGGUAACCAUUCGGUUCUCCUGAACCGAAUGUAAAAGGAUGGCUUCUUGCUAUCGCUUACAGAUGGGCCCGCGGCGCAUUAGCUAGUUGGUAAGGUAACGGCUUACCAAGGCGACGAUGCGUAGCCGACCUGAGAGGGUGAUCGGCCACACUGGGACUGAGACACGGCCCAGACUCCUACGGGAGGCAGCAGUAGGGAAUCUUCCGCAAUGGACGAAAGUCUGACGGAGCAACGCCGCGUGAACGAUGAAGGUCUUCGGAUCGUAAAGUUCUGUUGUGAGGGAAGAACAAGGACCGUGCGAACAGA
RNAcentral lists this ribosomal RNA (485 nucleotides) under Salimicrobium luteum. Its description in RNAcentral is "bacterial SSU rRNA". It matches the Rfam family "Bacterial small subunit ribosomal RNA", at positions 11 to 464 of the family's 1533-position model. The record is from RNAcentral. Lineage: Bacteria; Bacillati; Bacillota; Bacilli; Caryophanales; Bacillaceae.